GCUACUGUGGCCGAGUUGGUUAUGGCGCUAGACUCAAGAGAUCCUCUUGCCUUCAUCUGGAGGCUCGUGUUCUAGUAGAGAAAUCUGCAUGGGUUCAAAUCCCAUCGGUAGCA
Molecule: non-coding RNA, 113 nt
Organism: Lizonia empirigonia
Lineage: Eukaryota; Fungi; Ascomycota; Dothideomycetes; Pseudoperisporiaceae
Source: the annotation of a GenBank genome assembly